Molecule: ribosomal RNA, 253 nt
Filed under: uncultured bacterium
Lineage: Bacteria
Description: partial 16S ribosomal RNA
Rfam family: Bacterial small subunit ribosomal RNA
Source: RNAcentral
UACGGGGGGGGCAAGCGUUGUUCGGAAUUACUGGGCGUAAAGGGCUCGUAGGCGGCCAACUAAGUCAGACGUGAAAUCCCUCGGCUUAACUGGGGAACUGCGUCUGGGACUGGAUGGCUUGAGUGCAGGAGAGGAACGCGGAAUUCCAGGUGUAGCGGUGAAAUGCGUAGAUAUCUGGAGGAACACCGGUGGCGAAGGCGGCGUUCUGGACUGCAACUGACACUGAGGAACGAAAGCCAGGGGAGCAAACGGG